RNAcentral lists this ribosomal RNA (274 nucleotides) under uncultured bacterium. RNAcentral describes it as "partial 16S ribosomal RNA". It matches the Rfam family "Bacterial small subunit ribosomal RNA", at positions 523 to 796 of the family's 1533-position model. The record is from RNAcentral.
AUACGGAGGGUGCAAGCGUUACUCGGAAUCACUGGGCGUAAAGGACGCGUAGGCGGGAUGGUAAGUCUGAUGUGAAAUCCUACAGCUUAACUGUAGAACUGCAUUGGAAACUACUAACCUAGAGUAUGGGAGGGGGAGAUGGAAUUAGUGGUGUAGGGGUAAAAUCCGUAGAUAUCACUAGGAAUACCUAAAGCGAAGGCGAUCUCCUGGAACAAUACUGACGCUAAGGCGUGAAAGCGUGGGGAGCAAACGGGAUUAGAUACCCCAGUAGUCC